RNAcentral lists this long non-coding RNA (235 nucleotides) under Olea europaea subsp. europaea. Lineage: Eukaryota; Viridiplantae; Streptophyta; Magnoliopsida; Lamiales; Oleaceae. The record is from RNAcentral.
AGAGUUCAAAUUACAAAAAACAAAAAAUAAUUAAAAAAAUGAGCCAGUUGUUAAUAGCCAGCCCAGGACAGACUGUUUGACAGUUGAUUGGACAGUCGGCCUAAACUGAUGAGCUUACUUCACUUUUUUCAAUAAAAUCCAUUCAAUACUCCUAAAUCUACCUAAAUAAUGUCUUAUAAGCAUCAAAAUAAGAAUUUAAUACACAAAUUCACAAAAUAAAUAAAAUGAAAAAUCA